Molecule: ribosomal RNA, 241 nt
Filed under: uncultured Actinomycetales bacterium
Lineage: Bacteria; Bacillati; Actinomycetota; Actinomycetes; Actinomycetales
Description: partial 16S ribosomal RNA
Rfam family: Bacterial small subunit ribosomal RNA
Source: RNAcentral
UGGAUUAGUGGCGAACGGGUGAGUAACACGUGAGUAACCUGCCCUCCACUUUGGGAUAACUCCGAGAAAUCGGGGCUAAUACUGGAUAUGACCUUGGCCCGCAUGGUUGUGGUGGAAGUUUUCGGUGUGGGAUGGGCUCGCGGCCUAUCAGUUUGUUGGUGAGGUAGUGGCUCACCAAGGCGAUGACGGGUAGCCGGCCUGAGAGGGCGACCGGCCACACUUGGACUGAGACACGGCCCAG